GUGACGUCAGCACCGCGGGGCGGUGACUGUGGUGUCUACCCUCAGGCUCCGCGUGUGACCUCGCUGGCGGCGGGGUUCCUAGGGAGCCCAAGUCUCCGCCGCCUCCCUCUGUCCCCAGGUGUCAGCCCACAGUUGUCCGGAGCGGCGAUGGCCGACGACCUCGGAGACGAGUGGUGGGAGAACCAGCCGUCUGGAGCCGCCAGGAGCCCAGGUGUCUCUUGGCUCUGUUGAUCAUGGAAAGGUGUCAAAGUAAGGCCUGAGCUAGACUUUCCAGUGUGGGUCAGAUUUCCCUUUGAUGAGAGGUGAGAAUCCUCUCCAUGUAUAGCAAUUGUGGGGGGGUGGCGGGUAGUAGUGAAUAAUGUUGCAUAAAGGGUUGGUUUCUCCCUUCUAUUGUUACAUCACUGCCCAAAAGCCUUCUGUGAGGACAUAGAGCCCUCCUUGGGUCUGUAUUCAGGGUUCUUCAUAGUUCAACAGGACUAUGCUCUUCUAAUUUUACCCCCACCUGACUCUCAAUUUCAGCCACCCUGAACUGCUCACUGCUUGCUGCUCUUUGAUUCUUGAACAUUGAUUGUCCGCUCUCCUGUCUACCCCUAAACCUCUACUCUUCUGGACACUCUGGAAAACCAUUUGUCCUCUACCCUGGUCUUCCUCAUCCCCAGCCACUGCUUAAUCUCUUCUGUUUCUGAGGUGAGGAUAGCAACCUGCUCCUCCUCUUAACUCUUUCAGUACUUACUGUUUAUAUAAUUCCUUCUUAAUUACUUUUCCAGGUGGUCCUCAACUUAGAUUCUAAAUCUUAAGCCUGCAUAGCUUCCUCACACAGCUUUGAGCAAUAUUGGUGCCUCAUAAAUAUUAUUGGUUCAUUCUUAUAGGUGAUUUGUUGAGUGAUGAAGAAAGCUUGUAAUGCAAAGAUGCUUAUGCCUGUGGUGAUCCUAAGCUAAUACAGAGGGAAUUGAAACUCCUCAGAGAAGACUCUUUAGAAAGGUCUAAACAGUAGCAGGAGUUAUCUCAAAUUCUUUUGAGUCCUCCUAAAAUCCAUUUUUUCCCAAUAAAGCAAAAGUAAUUUGUUGUCUAGACCUUGCUUUCUCUCAAAGGCAGGUGAGAAGUGUAAAACUCCUCUGAAAAUUCCAGUUUAUAAUGAGGUAUCUUUGAAGAAGACAAAGGUAGCAUGUUAUAAACAAGGUAUUAAUACAACUAUAAAUAUUCAAAUAUGCACAUGCUUUGGGGCU
RNAcentral lists this long non-coding RNA (1226 nucleotides) under Dasypus novemcinctus (nine-banded armadillo). RNAcentral's name for it is "lncRNA (ENSDNOG00000052140.1)". The record is from RNAcentral. Lineage: Eukaryota; Metazoa; Chordata; Mammalia; Cingulata; Dasypodidae.